GGUCGGGCUCCUACUGGGGAGCUGCGGCAGUUUGUUACUCGAGGCCGCCCUUCAGGGCGGGCCCCGAAGGCCCGGCCUGGUGGAGAGUUGGUUUUGUCAGCAGUUUGGGUUCUCCAUGUUUGACAGCUUCCCUUUGCUCACCCAAAUGGGAGAAAAAGCAAGAUGAACGUACUUUAAUACUAAAAGAGUAAGAGCCCAUGAGCACAAUACAGUUUCAAACUUCGAAGAAAAGGAGAAAUUAAUAAGUGAUGUCCCCAAGAAGGCAGAAAGAAAACCUCUUUCUGCAGUCCAGACCUGGGAGAGGUGAUUUGUGUCAAGUAUUUUUGUUAUAGCACUGAAAAGUUUGGAAAACUAUUUAAAGAAUAGGACUCUGAGGAUGGAGUAGGUUACUCCUGGGAAAAAAUAUCCCGGUUAUUCAGUAAAUACUCUGCGUGGGAGGAGUAGAGAAAGACAGAAAC
This 458-nucleotide long non-coding RNA is filed under the name Mus pahari (shrew mouse). RNAcentral's name for it is "lncRNA (MGP_PahariEiJ_G0012475.1)". Lineage: Eukaryota; Metazoa; Chordata; Mammalia; Rodentia; Muridae. The record is from RNAcentral.